RNAcentral lists this unclassified non-coding RNA (336 nucleotides) under Hevea brasiliensis (rubber tree). Lineage: Eukaryota; Viridiplantae; Streptophyta; Magnoliopsida; Malpighiales; Euphorbiaceae. The record is from RNAcentral.
AUGCCAUGAGAAAUGGACUAUACCUGCAAAAUAAUAAAAGUUGAAUCAAAUCGUACAUAGCGGUGCUGCUAUGAUAUGACCAUGGAUUGACACACAAUGCAAUCACGGAGCACAUGAAAUCAAAAUGCCUUGAUGCCUUAGUAUUUCUUAGUUCUCAUUAUUUUUUAGUGGAUAUUAUAAUGCUGACAUGUGCCUUGAAAGAGAGGGGUGUGCACUAUCUUGGCCUCAAUUUUCCAGUCUCCAACUAAUUGACCAAUCAUUUUAAUUAUUUUGAAAUGACCAUAGUCUUUAAAGGCAUGCUUUAGGUUUAAAGUUCACCAGGCUCCAACCCUAGCG